UACGGAGGGUGCAAACGUUGCUCGGAAUUAUUGGGCGUAAAGCGCACGUAGGCGGCCCGGUAAGUCGGAUGUGAAAUCCCUCGGCUCAACCGAGGAAGUGCAUUCGAAACUACCGGGCUUGAAUAUGGAAGAGGGUCGCGGAAUUCCCGGUGUAGAGGUGAAAUUCGUAGAUAUCGGGAGGAACACCAGUGGCGAAGGCGGCGACCUGGGCCAAUAUUGACGCUGAGGUGCGAAAGCGUGGGGAGCAAACAGG
This 253-nucleotide ribosomal RNA is filed under the name uncultured bacterium. RNAcentral's name for it is "partial 16S ribosomal RNA". It matches the Rfam family "Bacterial small subunit ribosomal RNA", at positions 524 to 776 of the family's 1533-position model. The record is from RNAcentral.